CUAGUAACGGCGAGUGAAGCGGGAACAGCUCAAAUUUGAAAUCUGGCCUUCGGGUCCGAAUUGUAAUUUGCAGAGGAUGCUUUUGGUUAGGUACUUUCCGAGUUCCCUGGAACGGGACGCCUUAGAGGGUGAGAGCCCCGUACGGUUGGAUACCGAGCCUUUGUAAAGCUCCUUCGACGAGUCGAGUAGUUUGGGAAUGCUGCUCUAAAUGGGAGGUAAAUUUCUUCUAAAGCUAAAUACCGGCCAGAGACCGAUAGCGCACAAGUAGAGUGAUCGAAAGAUGAAAAGCACUUUGAAAAGAGGGUUAAAUAGCACGUGAAAUUGUUGAAAGGGAAGCGUUUAUGACCAGACUUUUUCCAGGCGGAUCAUCCGGUGUUCUCACCGGUGCACUUCGUCUGGUUGAGGCCAGCAUCGGUUUUCGUAGAGGGAUAAAAGCUUUAGGAAUGUGGUUCCUUCGGGAAUGUUAUAGCCUAUUGUAUAAUACCUUUAUGGGGACCGAGGUUCGCGCAUCUGCAAGGAUGCUGGCGU
RNAcentral lists this ribosomal RNA (528 nucleotides) under uncultured fungus. Its description in RNAcentral is "eukaryotic LSU rRNA". It matches the Rfam family "Eukaryotic large subunit ribosomal RNA", at positions 80 to 632 of the family's 3401-position model. Lineage: Eukaryota; Fungi. The record is from RNAcentral.